UACGUAGGGUGCAAGCGUUAAUCGGAAUUACUGGGCGUAAAGCGUGCGCAGGCGGCUUUGCAAGACAGAUGUGAAAUCCCCGGGCUCAACCUGGGAACUGCAUUUGUGACUGCAUGGCUAGAGUGCGGCAGAGGGGGAUGGAAUUCCGCGUGUAGCAGUGAAAUGCGUAGAGAUGUGGAGGAACACCGAUGGCGAAGGCAGCCCCCUGGGCCAAUACUGACGCUCAUGCACGAAAGCGUGGGGAGCAAACAGG
Molecule: ribosomal RNA, 253 nt
Filed under: uncultured bacterium
Lineage: Bacteria
Description: partial 16S ribosomal RNA
Rfam family: Bacterial small subunit ribosomal RNA
Source: RNAcentral